AACGAACGCUGGCGGCAGGCCUAACACAUGCAAGUCGAGCGGACCCUUCGGGGUUAGCGGCGGACGGGUGAGUAACGCGUGGGAAUAUGCCCUUCUCUACGGAAUAGUCCUGGGAAACUGGGGGUAAUACCGUAUACGCCCUUUGGGGGAAAGAUUUAUCGGGGAAGGAUUAGCCCGCGUUGGAUUAGGUAGUUGGUGGGGUAAUGGCCUACCAAGCCGACGAUCCAUAGCUGGUUUGAGAGGAUGAUCAGCCACACUGGGACUGAGACACGGCCCAGACUCCUACGGGAGGCAGCAGUGGGGAAUCUUAGACAAUUGGGGCAACCCUGAUCUAGCCAUGCCGCGUGAGUGAUGAAGGCCUUAGGGUUGUAAAGCUCUUUCAGCUGGGAAGAUAAUGACGGUACCAGCAGAAGAAGCCCCGGCUAACUCCGUG
RNAcentral lists this ribosomal RNA (433 nucleotides) under uncultured bacterium. Its description in RNAcentral is "partial 16S ribosomal RNA". It matches the Rfam family "Bacterial small subunit ribosomal RNA", at positions 29 to 507 of the family's 1533-position model. The record is from RNAcentral.